This 492-nucleotide ribosomal RNA is filed under the name uncultured bacterium. Its description in RNAcentral is "partial 16S ribosomal RNA". It matches the Rfam family "Bacterial small subunit ribosomal RNA", at positions 29 to 507 of the family's 1533-position model. The record is from RNAcentral.
AGUGAACGCUGGCGGUAUGCCUAACACAUGCAAGUCGAACGGCAGCACAGUAAGAGCUUGCUCUUACGGGUGGCGAGUGGCGGACGGGUGAGGAAUACAUCGGAAUCUACUUUUUCGUGGGGGAUAACGUAGGGAAACUUACGCUAAUACCGCAUACGACCUACGGGUGGAAGCAGGGGAUCUUCGGACCUUGCGCGAUUGAAUGAGCCGAUGUCGGAUUAGCUAGUUGGCGGGGUAAAGGCCCACCAAGGCGACGAUCCGUAGCUGGUCUGAGAGGAUGAUCAGCCACACUGGAACUGAGACACGGCCCAGACUCCUACGGGAGGCAGCAGUGGGGAAUAUUGGACAAUGGGCGCAAGCCUGAUCCAGCCAUACCGCGUGGGUGAAGAAGGCCUUCGGGUUGUAAAGCCCUUUUGUUGGGAAAGAAAAGCAGCAGGUUAAUACCCCGCUGUUCUGACGGUACCCAAAGAAUAAGCACCGGCUAACUUCGUG